GACGAACGCUGGCGGCGUGCCUAAUACAUGCAAGUAGAACGCUGAAGAGAGGAGCUUGCUCUUCUUGGAUGAGUUGCGAACGGGUGAGUAACGCGUAGGUAACCCGCCUUGUAGCGGGGGAUAACUAUUGGAAACGAUAGCUAAUACCGCAUAACAAUGGAUGACACAUGUCAUUUAUUUGAAAGGGGCAAUUGCUCCACUACAAGAUGGACCUGCGUUGUAUUAGCUAGUAGGUGAGGUAACGGCUCACCUAGGCGACGAUACAUAGCCGACCUGAGAGGGUGAUCGGCCACACUGGGACUGAGACACGGCCCAGACUCCUACGGGAGGCAGCAGUAGGGAAUCUUCGGCAAUGGGGGCAACCCUGACCGAGCAACGCCGCGUGAGUGAAGAAGGUUUUCGGAUCGUAAAGCUCUGUUGUAAGUCAAGAACGAGUGUGAGAGUGGAAAGUUCACACUGUGACGGUAGCUUACCAGAAAGGGACGGCUAACUACGUG
RNAcentral lists this ribosomal RNA (497 nucleotides) under uncultured bacterium. RNAcentral's name for it is "partial 16S ribosomal RNA". It matches the Rfam family "Bacterial small subunit ribosomal RNA", at positions 28 to 507 of the family's 1533-position model. The record is from RNAcentral.